AGGAGGAAGAGGGCUUGACGGGCACCAGCUUUUCCAUGGCCACCAGGAUCCAGUCAGGGGCACACACCAGGAACGGCAGCUCCUUCUCCUGCCUGGCCUCCCACCCCGCACUGCCACUGGGGGCUGCCUGUGGGACCACCCUGUGUGAGUGACAAGGGGCCCAGCUGCCCCCCAGCCCCCUUUGUGACCCCCUGGUGUCACAGCAGAGCUGCAGUGACCCCGCGCCGUGGCCAAACCACGGAUGGGCGCUCCAGGGUGCUGCUGCCUUUCCUGGGACCUUCAGCACUUCCAGCUUGCUCCAAAACGGGGACGCUGUGGCACGGCCGGGAUUGCCGAACCCCCGUCACCCUGGGAGGGGAAUGUGUCUCCUUUUUGGGGUGCUUUGGCACAGCGUGGCAGUGCCCCGCUCCGACACCGCUCCGUCCCACAGGGGUCCCGUGGGGCGGCCCCAGCUGCGCGGCGGCGGCCACCAAGGGUGACGAGUACGUGAUGCUGCGGUGCCGCUGGGAGGGGGGCACGCCGCUCGUCACCCUGCGCUGGCGGGACAGUGCGGGCCGCACCCUGGGCGACCCCGCGCCCUCCACGGCCGUGCUGGUGCUGAGCACCGACGGCAGCCUGGGCGGCCGCGAGUUCGUCUGCGAGGCCGCGCACCCGCUGCGGGCCGCUGCCGCCGAGUGCCGCCUGCGGCUGGGUAAGCCCGACCCGUCCCCACCACGCCACCGUGCCACGGAGCGGUGGCACCUCCCGGCCGAUCGUGUCCCCCCUUGUCGCCGAGCAGAGGUCCCCGAGCUGCAGGCGGAGAGCGAAGUGGCGGUGCUGGAGGGCGGCGAGGCGCAGCUGGCGUGCCGGCAACGUGGCAGCGGUGCCGGUCUCGGUGCCACAGUGGCUUGGUACGACCCAAAGGAGCGGGAGGUGACACCGGGGCUGGCCAAGUACCAGCUGGAGCAGGGAGAAGAGUGGGUCAACCUCACGGUGCGGGAUGCCGAGUGGCCGGGGGACAGUGGGAUCUACCGCUGCACCGCCACCAAUGCCGUGGGCACCGCCAGCCUCCCCGUCCGCCUCCGCGUGGACCGGUACCCAGCGCCGCCCAAUGUCACCAUCAGUAAGCUGCGGUACACGCGGGCGCGCACCGAGGUGCGGCUGGAGUGGCGGACGCAGGGCGCCGGCAACCUCACCGGCUUCGUGGUGCAGCGGCGCCGAACCAAGAAGCCCCUCCGGGAGACCCCCAGCCCCUGGGAAACGGCCGCCGGCGACAUCGAGCCGCACUCCCGCGACCGGCGCCUGGGGGGGCUGGACCCCGCGGUGCUCUAUGCUUUCCGCGUCCUGGCCGUCAACCACCGCACGGCCGGGCACCCCUCCGAGGUGCAGACGCCAGGUGAAGCGGGCAGGGGCUGCUCCGUGGGGGCAGAGCGAGGGUUGAGUGGAGAAGGGCAGCGUUUCCAUCCCGGUGGAGCUGAGGAGCCGAGUGCGAGCAGCCGUCAGCAGGUUUCAGGCACAGGCUCGCACCUUGCCGGGCCUUUCUGGGCUCUGCCCGUCCCUGCUGCCUGCCAUGUUCCCUCUGCUCUCUUCCAGCCGAGCCUCCCUUCGAGGCCUACCCGGCGGUGACGGGGGCGGCGGUGGCAGGGAUGCUGGUGGCCAGCGCAGCAUCGCUGCUGGCCGUGCACUGCAUCGCCCGCCACAGGGACACCCUCCCGCGUGAGUGCGGGGGCGCCUCGGGGGCCACAGCCCGAGCCCCGACCCCUCACCUCACACCCAUGUCCCUCCGCAGGGCUGCACGACCUGCUGUUCCGCACGUGAGUGCCCAAACCCCUCUGUGCCACCUCCCGUGCCCGGGCAGCAGCGAGCCCCCCGCGAGAGAGCCCCCCGUGUCCCCGCAGGGCCGGGCCCGGCGCGCAGGAGCCCGUGGGCACAGCGGAGGAUGCUGAGGCAGCCGCAGGCGGCGAGGAGGAAGCAGGGCCAGCCCAGGGAGACUCGUGUGCCCCCGGUGCAGCUACGGGUGCCGAGGCAGCACCAGCACAGGGAGACCCGUGUGCCCCGGGCACGGCAGCAGGUACCGGGGCGGCCGAGGGCAGAGCCACCUGCCCCGCUGAGCCAGCACCCAAUGCCCUUCUGAACCAGCACCCACCUGCCCCCACCAGCUCCCGCUGAACCAGCACCCACCUGCCCCGCUGAGCCAGCACCCACCCGUG
RNAcentral lists this long non-coding RNA (2189 nucleotides) under Camarhynchus parvulus. RNAcentral's name for it is "lncRNA (ENSCPVG00000017374.1)". Lineage: Eukaryota; Metazoa; Chordata; Aves; Passeriformes; Thraupidae. The record is from RNAcentral.